RNAcentral lists this small RNA (28 nucleotides) under Bombyx mori (domestic silkworm). RNAcentral describes it as "ovarian small RNA-25789". The record is from RNAcentral. Lineage: Eukaryota; Metazoa; Arthropoda; Insecta; Lepidoptera; Bombycidae.
UCAGUCUAUGCGCCGUCUCGUCGGAUUC